AGUGAACGCUGGCGGUAGGCCUAACACAUGCAAGUCGAACGGCAGCACAGUAAGAGCUUGCUCUUACGGGUGGCGAGUGGCAGACGGGCGAGGAAUACAUCGGAAUCUACUUUUUCGUGGGGGAUAACGUAGGGAAACUUACGCUAAUACCGCAUACGACCUACGGGUGAAAGAAGGGGUUCUUCGGACCUUGCGCGAUUGAAUGAGGCGAUGUCGGAUUAGCUAGUUGGCGGGGUAAAGGCCCACCAAGGCGACGAUCCGUAGCUGGUCUGAGAGGAUGAUCAGCCACACUGGACCUGAGACACGGUCCAGACUCCUACGGGAGGCAGCAGUGGAGAAUAUUGGACAAUGGGCGCAAGCCUAAUCCAGCCAUACCGCGUGGGUGAAGAAGGCCUUCGGGUUGUAAAGCCCUUUUGUUGGGAAAGAAAAGCAGCAGUUUAAUACCCCGCUGUUCUGACGGUACCCAAAGAAUAAGCACCGGCUAACUUCGUG
Molecule: ribosomal RNA, 492 nt
Filed under: uncultured bacterium
Lineage: Bacteria
Description: partial 16S ribosomal RNA
Rfam family: Bacterial small subunit ribosomal RNA
Source: RNAcentral